Molecule: ribosomal RNA, 348 nt
Filed under: uncultured rumen bacterium
Lineage: Bacteria
Description: partial 16S ribosomal RNA
Source: RNAcentral
UAUUCCCCACUGCUGCCUCCCGUAGGAGUCUGGGCCGUGUCUCAGUCCCAGUGUGGCUGAUCGUCCUCUCAGACCAGCUACUGAUCGUCGCCUUGGUGAGCCUUUACCUCACCAACUAGCUAAUCAGACAUCGGCCGCUCCUAUAGCAUGAGGCCUUGCGGUCCCCCACUUUCACCCUCAGGUCGUAUGCGGUAUUAGCUAAUCUUUCGACUAGUUAUCCCCCACUACAGGGCACGUUCCGAUGUAUUACUCACCCGUUCGCCACUCGCCAUCAAUCUAGCAAGCUAGAUCAUGCUGCCGUUCGACUUGCAUGUGUAAGGCAUGCCGCCAGCGUUCAUCCUGAGCCAA